RNAcentral lists this ribosomal RNA (918 nucleotides) under Pseudomonas fluorescens. RNAcentral's name for it is "bacterial SSU rRNA". It matches the Rfam family "Bacterial small subunit ribosomal RNA", at positions 62 to 979 of the family's 1533-position model. Lineage: Bacteria; Pseudomonadati; Pseudomonadota; Gammaproteobacteria; Pseudomonadales; Pseudomonadaceae. The record is from RNAcentral.
CUGAGCCAUGAUCAAACUCUUCGUUACUCUUGAGAGCGGCGGACGGGUGAGUAAUGCCUAGGAAUCUGCCUGGUAGUGGGGGAUAACGUUCGGAAACGGACGCUAAUACCGCAUACGUCCUACGGGAGAAAGCAGGGGACCUUCGGGCCUUGCGCUAUCAGAUGAGCCUAGGUCGGAUUAGCUAGUUGGUGGGGUAAUGGCUCACCAAGGCGACGAUCCGUAACUGGUCUGAGAGGAUGAUCAGUCACACUGGAACUGAGACACGGUCCAGACUCCUACGGGAGGCAGCAGUGGGGAAUAUUGGACAAUGGGCGAAAGCCUGAUCCAGCCAUGCCGCGUGUGUGAAGAAGGUCUUCGGAUUGUAAAGCACUUUAAGUUGGGAGGAAGGGUUGUAGAUUAAUACUCUGCAAUUUUGACGUUACCGACAGAAUAAGCACCGGCUAACUCUGUGCCAGCAGCCGCGGUAAUACAGAGGGUGCAAGCGUUAAUCGGAAUUACUGGGCGUAAAGCGCGCGUAGGUGGUUUGUUAAGUUGGAUGUGAAAUCCCCGGGCUCAACCUGGGAACUGCAUUCAAAACUGACUGACUAGAGUAUGGUAGAGGUGGUGGAAUUUCCUGUGUUAGCGGUGAAAUGCGUAGAUAUAGGAAGGAACACCAGUGGCGAAGGCGACCACCUGGACUAAUACUGACACUGAGGUGCGAAAGCGUGGGGAGCAAACAGGAUUAGAUACCCUGGUAGUCCACGCCGUAAACGAUGUCAACUAGCCGUUGGGAGCCUUGAGCUCUUAGUGGCGCAGCUAACGCAUUAAGUUGACCGCCUGGGGAGUACGGCCGCAAGGUUAAAACUCAAAUGAAUUGACGGGGGCCCGCACAAGCGGUGGAGCAUGUGGUCCUGAAUAUUUACGGUUACCUUACGACUU